Molecule: long non-coding RNA, 272 nt
Organism: Bos indicus x Bos taurus (hybrid cattle)
Lineage: Eukaryota; Metazoa; Chordata; Mammalia; Artiodactyla; Bovidae
Source: Ensembl
GAAGUUCCUGACGUGUGCUAAUGAGGACAAGGGAUGAUGGACAAAGGGGUGAGUUCAUUUCAGUCCUGCCACCAAUACUUUGGAUCUCACCCCUGGUAUGAACUAGCUACCUGGAUCUCUGUACAUCACUUCCUAACUGAGCCCUGAAUAUAAUCAUCUUCCUGUGUCCUCUCAAAUGCCUGCAUGCCUGGAGGCGCAUCCAUUCCGUGAUCAAACAGGAAGUACACAGUCAGGUGCGGAGAGGAAACCUGGUGUUUGUCUUUGUACUGGAG